UACAAAUUCGUGUUUGAGGCUAUUAAUC
This 28-nucleotide non-coding RNA is filed under the name Bombyx mori (domestic silkworm). Lineage: Eukaryota; Metazoa; Arthropoda; Insecta; Lepidoptera; Bombycidae. The record is from RNAcentral.